RNAcentral lists this ribosomal RNA (253 nucleotides) under uncultured bacterium. RNAcentral's name for it is "partial 16S ribosomal RNA". It matches the Rfam family "Bacterial small subunit ribosomal RNA", at positions 524 to 776 of the family's 1533-position model. The record is from RNAcentral.
UACAGAGGGUGCGAGCGUUGUCCGGAAUCACUGGGCGUAAAGGGCGCGUAGGUGGCUAGGUAAGCGUGUGGUGAAAGUCCGGGGCUCAACCCCGGAUCUGCCGUGCGAACUGCCAGGCUUGAGCAAUGUAGAGGCAGGUGGAAUUUCGGGUGUAGCGGUGGAAUGCGUAGAUAUCCGAAAGAACACCAGUGGCGAAGGCGGCCUGCUGGGCAUCUGCUGACACUGAGGCGCGACAGCGUGGGGAGCAAACAGG